Molecule: long non-coding RNA, 513 nt
Organism: Lemur catta (Ring-tailed lemur)
Lineage: Eukaryota; Metazoa; Chordata; Mammalia; Primates; Lemuridae
Exons: 3
Source: RefSeq, a predicted model, not a curated record
GACAACUUUUAUGUUCAAUUCACAAGCAUUACCUACCUGACCAGCCUUUUUCAGUUGCUGAAGAUAGUUGGAAACUGUGGCUCCCACCUAAAGAGAUAACCAUGCCUUUCAGAAUUUUCACGACAAGUGUCCCAAAGCAGUGUGGGCUGCACCAGUGCCGUGGAUGGCAGAGACCGACGUGCUAACUUCUUUGAAUGAAAGGUCUGUCCCAUGUAUUGCAAAUUGUCUGGCCUCCCUGCUUUCUGCCUGCUAAACACAAGUAAAACAUCCCAUCAUUGUGACAACAAAAGAGACCUUCAAAAAAUGCCAUCUGGAAAGCAGUAUACCCUGCUGAGAGCCACUGCUACAUGCAAACACAGAAUGUUCACCACAGGAAAAGAGCAAGAAGAGUGCUGAGCUCCUGCGCUGAUCAGGUUUCCCUGGAUGGGUAAAGCGGAGACUGUUGGUGAUUCCAGUGUGUCAUAGCACAUCACCUGAAGCCACCACAUCAGAAAGCCACUGCACAAACCCAGA